GACGAACGCUGGCGGCGUGCCUAAUACAUGCAAGUCGAGCGAAGUUUUUCUGGUGCUUGCACCGGAAAAACUUAGCGGCGAACGGGUGAGUAACACGUAAAGAACCUGCCUCAUAGACUGGGACAACUAUUGGAAACGAUAGCUAAUACCGGAUAAUAGCAUUAACUGCAUGGUUGAUGUUUAAAAGUUGGUUUUGCUAACACUAUGAGAUGGCUUUGCGGUGCAUUAGCUAGUUGGUGGGGUAAAGGCCUACCAAGGCGACGAUGCAUAGCCGACCUGAGAGGGUGAUCGGCCACACUGGGACUGAGACACGGCCCAGACUCCGACGGGAGGCAGCAGUAGGGAAUCUUCCGCAAUGGGCGAAAGCCUGACGGAGCAACGCCGCGUGAGUGAAGAAGGAUUUCGGUUCGUAAAGCUCUGUUGUUAGGGAAGAAUGAUUGUGUAGUAACUAUACACAGUAGAGACGGUACCUAACCAGAAAGCCACGGCGAACUACGU
This 498-nucleotide ribosomal RNA is filed under the name uncultured bacterium. RNAcentral's name for it is "partial 16S ribosomal RNA". It matches the Rfam family "Bacterial small subunit ribosomal RNA", at positions 28 to 506 of the family's 1533-position model. The record is from RNAcentral.